RNAcentral lists this microRNA precursor (94 nucleotides) under Canis lupus familiaris (dog). Its description in RNAcentral is "mir-8799 microRNA precursor family". It matches the Rfam family "mir-8799 microRNA precursor family". The record is from Rfam by way of RNAcentral. RNAcentral also lists the same sequence under 1 other name. Lineage: Eukaryota; Metazoa; Chordata; Mammalia; Carnivora; Canidae.
GAGGGGAGCGCAGGAUCCUGGGCUUUGUCCCCCGUGCCCUGGGCUCCGGGGCCUGCGCCGCUGGAAUCGCGCUCCCGGGGCCCCGCAGCCCCCU